AUUGAACGCUGGCGGCAUGCCUAACACAUGCAAGUCGAACGGCAGCACGACCUAGCUUGCUAGGUUGGUGGCGAGUGGCGCACGGGUGAGUAAUGCGUAGGAAUAUACCUUAAAGUGGGGGACAACCUGGGGAAACUCAGGCUAAUACCGCAUGAGCUCUAAGGAGGAAAGCUGGGGACCUUUCGGGGCUUGGCGCUUUAAGAAUAGCUUACGUCCGUUUAGUUAGUUGGUGGGGUAAAGGCUUACCAAGACGAUGAUCGGUAGCUGGUCUGGGAGGAUGAGCAGCCAUAGUGGGACUGAGACGCGGCCCAGACUGCGGCGGGGGGCAGCAGUGGGGAAUAUUGGAAGAUGGGGGGAACCUUGAUCCAGCGAUGCCGCGUGUGUGAAGAAGGCCUGCGGGUUGUAAAGCACUUUCGGUGGGAAGGAGGACUUAUAGGUUAAGAGCUAAUGAGUUGGACGUUACCGACAUAAGAAGCACCGGCUAACUCCGUGCCAGCCGCCGCCGUAA
RNAcentral lists this ribosomal RNA (508 nucleotides) under uncultured bacterium. Its description in RNAcentral is "partial 16S ribosomal RNA". It matches the Rfam family "Bacterial small subunit ribosomal RNA", at positions 30 to 523 of the family's 1533-position model. The record is from RNAcentral.